AACGCACGAGACCUGCGGACCUGCGGAGGGAUCAUUACAUGAUUUGAGGGGGCUCGCGUCCCCUCAUCCAACCCACGAACCCCGAGGAAACUUUAUGUCGAGUGGUUCGGCGCUCUCUUUGAGAGCCGCCCCUCAAACGCAUCGCAGGCUUUUCGUGAGGGUCUGAUGUGUCACAUCGUGAGUAUCAAAACUUUUAGCAAUGGAUCUCU
This 209-nucleotide unclassified non-coding RNA is filed under the name soil metagenome. RNAcentral describes it as "partial contains 5.8S ribosomal RNA, internal transcribed spacer 2, and large subunit ribosomal RNA". The record is from RNAcentral.